Molecule: ribosomal RNA, 462 nt
Filed under: uncultured bacterium
Lineage: Bacteria
Description: partial 16S ribosomal RNA
Rfam family: Bacterial small subunit ribosomal RNA
Source: RNAcentral
GACGAACGCUGGCGGCGUGCUUAACACAUGCAAGUCGAACGGAAAGGCCCUUCGGUGUACUCGAGUUCCGAAGGGGUGCGUAACAGUAGGGUGAUCUGCCCUGCCCUUUGGGUUAGGCCUGGGAAACUGGGACUAAUACCGAAUAGGACCACGCGCUCCUUGGGGAGUGGGGGAAAGCGUUUGCGGUGUGGGAUGGGCGCGCGGUCUAUCAGCUUGUGGGUGGGGUAAUGGCCUACCAAGGCGACGACGGGUAGCCGGCCUGAGAGGGUGACCGGCCACACUGGGACUGAGAUACGGCCCAGACUCCUACGGGAGGCAGCAGUGGGGAAUAUUGCACAAUGGGCGCAAGCCUGAUGCAGCGACGCCGCGUGAGGGAUGACGGCCUUCGGGUUGUAAACCUCUUUCAAUAGGGACGAAGCGCGAGUGACGGUACCUAUAGAAGAAGCACCGGCUAACUACGUG